UGUAGCUUUAAUAUACAAUCCAGCUGCUUGAAUAUGAGUAGGCUUGCACAUAAUCAAAGCAUGGCUCGAGGUAGGGAUUUAAUGUGAGGGUCCUAGCCAGGGCUGGCAAGCCAUAUAUGUGCUAAUGUGGCAAUUUCAACCUUGGACUUAAGGUCAAGAUUGAUUUAGUGAAAAAUAUUAUUCUGCAUUGCAAUAGAUGCCUUCUGAAUUGGAUUGUGGGGGAUUCUGGAGGAUGGGUGAGUGUGGGGGUUAGACGACCCAAAUAGCUGAAGCAAGAACUGCUUUAAGGCAGGGUGCAAUGACACAUAAUAUUUUUCUCUUAUACAUAGGAAAAUGCUUUGUUGGUAGGCUGCAUAUUUUGGCAAUUUUGAGAAAUAACAAGUUUUUUUUUUUAAAACUCAUCUUAUUAUAGAAAAUGUCAAAUAUUCCCUAACUCACCUGAAGCUCAACUUCUAACUUACUUAAUUUUGACUUUAUGGUGCUGUGAAAACAAUUCACGCCAGCGGAAGCCAUGCUUGGAAGCUGGAACUCGGCUCCUUUCCCUGCCACCACUGUUCCAUCUAACCCUCUCCAGCAGCACCUGUGGGUCCCAAUUCGCCCACAGACCACAAGGAGACACAUCAAGGCAGACCUGGGAUGUUGGCAUUAGAGUCUGGUUCUUCAGGAUUCCAGUGUAUACUGAAGACCGGACAAGACAUCCACUCUCAUGGCCUGAACAACUACUGGAUUCACGGACCUUCUAUUGGCAGUCAGUCAUUGUUGGACUAGCUGGACCACAGUCUGUACUUAGGGUGCUGGGGGAUGGAACUCCAGAUUUCUGCUUGGAGAUCAAAUAUAUCCUGGACUUGCCUGAAAGGGGACAAUAGUCCCAACUUGAGCUGUUAAAGCGAGGAUGGCUUGCACAGAACAAGAUCACAACUGAUAUAGCAGGACUAUGAGUAUAAUCAGCCAUGGUGUUUCCAACUCACCUCAGACACUGAAGUGACUCCUCCUACUGUCAUCAAAACGUGUUCUCAAAUGGCAAUGGCAUCAUGGCAAUGCUGAGAUGGAGUCUUCAGGAUGGAGCUUUUUGAAGCCAGCACAGGGACUCUCUAGGUCAGGUCUGGGCCAGCUAGUCUAUGCUAGCCCAGAAGGACUGAACACCACAUUGCCACCUGUGUGAUCUGCUGGCCAGAGUGUUCCCUGACAGGAAG
RNAcentral lists this long non-coding RNA (1193 nucleotides) under Cricetulus griseus (Chinese hamster). RNAcentral's name for it is "lncRNA (ENSCGRG00015038078.1)". The record is from RNAcentral. Lineage: Eukaryota; Metazoa; Chordata; Mammalia; Rodentia; Cricetidae.